AAAGUCGUAACAAGGUUUCCGUAGGUGAACCUGCGGAAGGAUCAUUAACACGUAUCCAUACGUAUUAUAUACCAAACCGUGAACUUGUUUGUAAACUAUUGAGAAGGGGUAGUUAGGUGUAAAAGCCUGGCGAGACUUCUGUAACCUUUAUUUUAAACCUAUAAACCACUUGUAAACCAAUUGAACUAAACCUAAGAGUUAUGAAUGCGAAAGCAAUCAUAUUCUGUAUUUACGAAACGUAAAAACAAUUCUUAGCAACGGAUAUCUUGGUUCUC
RNAcentral lists this unclassified non-coding RNA (275 nucleotides) under fungal sp. RNAcentral describes it as "partial contains small subunit ribosomal RNA, internal transcribed spacer 1, and 5.8S ribosomal RNA". The stretch from base 1 to 47 matches the Rfam family "Eukaryotic small subunit ribosomal RNA", at positions 1785 to 1831 of the family's 1831-position model. Lineage: Eukaryota; Fungi. The record is from RNAcentral.